This 1243-nucleotide ribosomal RNA is filed under the name metagenome. RNAcentral's name for it is "bacterial LSU rRNA". It matches the Rfam family "Bacterial large subunit ribosomal RNA", at positions 1564 to 2815 of the family's 2925-position model. The record is from RNAcentral.
UGAAUACGAGACGCUAAGGCGUCGAAGUAGUGUAUGUCAUACUUCCAAGAAAAGCUUGCACUGUCAUAAGUAAAAAAUGCCUGUACCAUAACCGACACAGGUGGGUAGGUAGAGUAUACUAAGGGGCGCGAGAUAACUCUCUCUAAGGAACUCGGCAAAAUAACUCCGUAACUUCGGGAGAAGGAGUACCUUAUUCUAUAAGGUUGCAAUAACAAGAUCCAAGCAACUGUUUAUCAAAAACACAGGUCUCCGCUAAGUCGUAAGACGAUGUAUGGGGGCUGACGCCUGCCCAGUGCCAGAAGGUUAAAGAAGUCGGUUAGCAUUAGCGAAGCUGGUAACUGAAGCCCUGGUGAACGGCGGCCGUAACGAUAACGGUCCUAAGGUAGCGAAAUUCCUUGUCGGGUAAGUUCCGACCCGCACGAAAGGCGUAAUGAUUUGGAUACUGUCUCGGAGAGGGGCUCGGUGAAAUAGACUUGUCUGUGAAGAUGCGGACUACCUGCACCAGGACAGAAAGACCCUAUGAAGCUUUACUGUAACUUGAAAUUGAAAUUGGACUUUAUUCGCGCAGUAUAGGUGGGAGGUGUUGAUUAUAAUCUUGCGGGAUUAUUGGAGCCAUCAGUGAGAUACCACUCUUGUAAUGUUAGAUUUCUAACUUUGAAUCAUUAUCUGGUCAAAGGACAGUUUCAGGCGGGCAGUUUGACUGGGGCGGUCGCCUCCCAAACGGUAACGGAGGCGUACAAAGGUUUCCUCUGAACGGGUAGAAAUCGUAUCUAGAGUGUAAAGGCAUAAGGAAGCUUGACUGUGAGACCUACAAGUCGAACAGGGACGAAAGUCGGUCUUAGUGAUCUGACGGUACUGAGUGGAAAGGCCGUCACUCAACGGAUAAAAGUUACUCUAAGGAUAACAGGCUGAUCUCCCCCAAGAGUUCACAUCGACGGGGAGGUUUGGCACCUCGAUGUCGGCUCAUCGCAUCCUGGGGCGGUAGUACGUCCCAAGGGUUGGGCUGUUCGCCCAUGAAAGCGGUACGCGAGCUGGGUUCAGAACGUCGUGAGACAGUUCAGUCCAUAUCCGGUGUAGGCGUUAGAAUAUUGAGAGGAGCCUUCUUUAGUACGAGAGGACCGAGAAGGACAUACCUCUGGUGUACCAGUUAUCGUGCCAACGGUAAACGCUGGGUAGCUAUGUAUGGAGUGGAUAACCGCUGAAAGCAUCUAAGUGGGAAGCCCACCUCAAGAUAAGUAUUCAC